AUUGAACGCUGGCGGCAGGCCUAACACAUGCAAGUCGAGCGGUAGAGAGGUGCUUGCAUCUCUUGAGAGCGGCGGACGGGUGAGUAAUGCCUAGGAAUCUGCCUAGUGGUGGGGGAUAACGUUCGGAAACGGACGCUAAUACCGCAUACGUCCUACGGGAGAAAGCGGGGGAUCUUCGGACCUCGCGCCAUUAGAUGAGCCUAGGUCGGAUUAGCUAGUUGGUGAGGUAAUGGCUCACCAAGGCGACGAUCCGUAACUGGUCUGAGAGGAUGAUCAGUCACACUGGAACUGAGACACGGUCCAGACUCCUACGGGAGGCAGCAGUGGGGAAUAUUGGACAAGUGGGACGGAAAGACCUGAUCCAGCCAUGCCGCGUGUGUGAAGAAGGUCUUCGG
This 395-nucleotide ribosomal RNA is filed under the name uncultured bacterium. RNAcentral describes it as "bacterial SSU rRNA". It matches the Rfam family "Bacterial small subunit ribosomal RNA", at positions 30 to 421 of the family's 1533-position model. The record is from RNAcentral.